GAUGAACGCUGGCGGCAUGCCUAAUACAUGCAAGUCGAGCGAAUGGAUUAAGAGCUUGCUCUUAUGAAGUUAGCGGCGGACGGGUGAGUAACACGUGGGUAACCUGCCCAUAAGACUGGGAUAACUCCGGGAAACCGGGGCUAAUACCGGAUAACAUUUUGAACCGCAUGGUUCGAACUUGAAAGGCGGCUUCGGCUGCCACUUAUGGAUGGACCCGCGUCGCAUUAGCUAGUUGGUGAGGUAACGGCUCACCAAGGCAACGAUGCGUAGCCGGCCUGAGAGGGUGGUCGGCCAGACUGGGACUGAGACACGGCCCAGACUCCUACGGGAGGCAGCAGUAGGGAAUCUUCCGCAAUGGAUGAAAGUCUGACGGAGCAACGCCGCGUGAGUGAUGAAGGCUUUCGGGUCGUAAAACUCUGUUGUUAGGGAAGAACAAGUGCUAGUUGAAUAAGCUGGCACCUUGACGGUACCUAACCAGAAAGCCACGGCUAACUACGUGCCAGCCGCCGCAGUAA
RNAcentral lists this ribosomal RNA (515 nucleotides) under uncultured bacterium. RNAcentral describes it as "partial 16S ribosomal RNA". It matches the Rfam family "Bacterial small subunit ribosomal RNA", at positions 28 to 523 of the family's 1533-position model. The record is from RNAcentral.